CACAAACACAGAGAGAAAGAGAGAGAGAGAGAGAGAGAGAGAGGAAAUCCCGCUGUCACUAAUGGAGUUUGCCGCCCUGCGAGCUUAAGCGGAAUUAGCAUACUGUCAAGUCAAAUUAAUCACUGACUGUCAAAUUUCCCUAAAACACUUUUCAGGCUAAUACAGAUUAGUCCAUUUAAGAGCCCAGCAGCCCACCUGUCCUGUUUUCCAUCCAACACAAUCUAAUCUAAGCCUGUUUGUUAACCUACAUUCUAAAUAUACAGUUGGCUGUAUACAGGGGGAUGCUACUGUGUGACUGGGUAGGCAGCAGAUCACUCACAGUUUGUGGGAGUCUACUGUACCUGAGAAGAGACAUUUUAUUUUUUUGUGAGUUUCAAUAGAACAGGUUUCAUAAUGUUCAGGGUAAACAAAUAGUUUGAGGGGACUUCAUAACCAUACUGUCCGUCUGUCCAUCCUUCUUUCUGUCUGUCCUUCCGUCCGAGCAGAUCUGACUAAUGUUUGUGUUGUUGGGCCAUUUUCCAUGAAAACAAGCAGGAUGUGAAAAUGAUAAAAUGAUGACUCAGACAAACAAACGAACCAGACUAUUUAUUGUCUGACUUCUAUUGAACGAUUUCUGGGAAACUGAGUCUGAAGGACAACUAAUGAAAAACAUAUUUACAUCCCACAAACCUGAUGGGGAGUCAGAAUACAUAAGCCAAACAAUAUGAGUUGUGGUAGGAAAUGUAGACACACCUGUACUUCAUGUACUCCCUGUAUCAUUCAUCGACAAAAGAUAGGCUGUGUCAUUCAUAUGAACUACUUUCAUGUUUCCACUGGCUUAACUGGUUUAAACGUUUGUCCAAGACCGGAUGUAACCUUGGUGACCAGGGUCAUAUAACAGCGUGAUUGCUGUUUAGGGAAUUGUGUUGUUGGGGACAUGUAUUCACCCUGUGCAUCAUCAUUGCCCCCUAGUGGUUAUAAUUAGAAAUGACUGAGACGGUGGUAUUGUUUCCUCAGCCCUUCCUUCCUCUAUUCCUUACCUCCCUCUCAAAGCUUAUUGGAGGUCCUAGGGAGGGGUCUUGGAUCCUCCCCGUGUACAACUGGACAAUAAAGUAAUCUCCUCCUCCUGCUCCUCUUCCUCCCAGUUCAGUUUCUCCUUUGUGGAGACACACACGGUGCGAGCUGUGAGGCUUCGCCCCCGCUCUCAGAGGAGCUGGUCUGACGAUGUCUGCGAGGACAACGGAGAGUGUGAAUCUAAGAACACACCCAUAAUCUCCUCAGAGGGGACCUAGCCUUGGAACGUAAACGGAGACCUACGGGAGGUGCCCUCAGAGCUACUCAUCAGGAUAGAUCCCCAACUCCCGACCCUGUUUGUUUCACCACCAGGAUAGAUCCCCAACUCCCGACCCUGUUUGUUUCACCACCAGGAUAGAUCCCCAACUCCCGACCCUGUUUGUUUCACCACCAGGAUAGAUCCCCAACUCCCGACCCUGUUUGUUUCACCACCAGGAUAGAUCCCCAACUGCUGACCCUGUUUGUUUCACCACCAGGAUAGAUCCCCAACUCCCGACCCUGUUUGUUUCACCAGCAGGGUACAUCCUCAACUCCUGACCCUGUUUGGAGGGGACAUCGAGGAGGCAGAGGAGGCACACAUCAAGUGCAGCUGCAUUUAACACUGUCUGUAGAGUGGAAUCGAUACCAUUUAAAACUGUGUAAAGGGUGGAGGAGUCUUAACACAUAUCAACCUGCACUGCCACUGAAUGUAACAAACAGGAUUUCCUACUGCACUCUAGAAGAAACAGUCUUCAGUUUACAGACUGUCUACAGUUAAAACUGUCUACAAGAGAGGAGUAUAUAGACACAACCUAAAAUGGUCUCCAUGUAGAGUUGAUCUAUUAUGCAGAACCUCAGGUUGCACUGCCACUGAAUGUUACCGACAGGCAUGACUACUGUACGACACUGUGAAUGUUAAACAUCAAAUAACCAAUGACAGACAGACACAUUAAAUAGAAAAAGUUCAUUUUUACACGCCACACACUUAUUUAUUAAAAAUAAAAUAAUUAUUUUAUUUUAUUGAAAUUCAAAUUGGAAUGUGCCCCCUUUAUUUUUGUCAUAACUGACAACUUGGUCAGGAAAGGUUGACUCCCUGAAUUAACUGUCCUGAACCUUAAAAUACAAGCAGUAAAAACAUGUUACUAAUCCUCAUUCAACAACAUCAUCAUCAUCAUCAUCAUCAUCAUCAAGGCAUACCACAUCUCCUAAACCUGAAUGUUCCAAUCCCUUACAGCUGCAGUAAGAACACAAUCCACUAAUUCCAAAGAUUCCAACAGAGAAUCCAAAGGGAUGAAAAUGUAAAAAUGGGAAGGUCAGUGUUCCGUAUGUUUCAUUUAAGUCCUGGCAUGUCUGCUAUGCCUUGAGCAACAUUUCUGAGUCACUGAAGAACCAGCUUUUACAUUUUUUUUUCUGACUGCAUUGAAAACUUCUGCAUUUCAAAGUUGCUCCAAACAUCACAUUUCAAAGUGUUUUGUUGCUCCAGCUGCUCUGUAUCGUUCCAUGUCUCCAAACGUCAAAUUUGGACGUUAUGGUCCGAAUGGUUAAGGUAAUGGUUAAGGUAAUGGUUAAGGUAAUGGUUAAGGUUUGGGAUAGGGUUAAAACAUUACGUUUAGGCACUCCUUCCAAAUGGUUAGGUAAGGGUUCAUGUUGGGGAUAGGGUAAAACAUUACGUUUAGGCACUCCUUCCAAAUGGUUAGGUAAGGGUUCAUGUUGGGGAUAGGGUAAAACAAUUAUAAAAAGGCAUUUCUUGACAUCCUCUGGACAUAGAUAAAUGUCCAAUUUCGACGUCAAUCUUGAACGACCUGACUGGUAUGAGUUGCUCACACACACACACACUCUGUUGUUCCCCUCUAAUCAGGGACUGAUUUAGACCUGGGACAUCAGGUGGGUGCAAUUCAUUAUCAGGUAGAACAGAUAACCAGCAGGCUCUGGACCUCGUAGGGUAAGAGUUGAAUACACCUGCUCUAGAGGGUCACACACACACACACACACACACACACACACACACACACACACACACACACACACACACACACACACACACACACACACACACACACACACACACACACACACACACAGGGUGCUGUCCCCUUGAGGAGUGUGUCAUUCAUGUGUCAUUCAGUGAGUUGAGUGACACCCAACAACAGCCCCUUUUUUUCACAGAUGACACUACACUGUCCUCCUCAUCCUUCUGUUCUUCAGUUCUAUACUACAUAAAUAAGCUUAAACUUCUGUCCCAUCCACUUCUAUAUAUAUAUAUAUAUAUAUAUACACUUCUAUUGAUGAUAUAGAUUUGACAUAUAGAUGUGUAUAUAUCGAUAUACACUCAAUGGCCAGGUUAUUAGUUACACCCAUCUAGUACCGGGUCGGACCUCACUUUGCCUCCAGACACACCUGAAUUCUUUGGGGCAUGGAAACGUUGCUCAAUUGGUAUCAAGGGACCUAAAGUGUGCCAGGAAAACAUUUCCAUCACCAUUACACCACCGCCACCAGCCUGUACCGUUGACACAAGGCAGGAGGAGGCAAUGGAUUCAUGCUGCUUAUGCCAAAUCCUGACUCUGCCAUCAGCAUGAUGUAACAGGAACCGGGAUUCGUCGAACCAGGCAAUGUUUUUCCACUCAUCAGUUGUCCAGUGUUGGUGAUCGCGUGCCCACUGGAGCCACUUGUUCUUGUUUUUAGCUGAUAGGAGUGGAACCCGGUGCGGUCGUCUGCUGCAAUAGCCCAUCCGUGACAAUGUUCUGAGAUGCUGUUGUACUGCGUCAUUAUUUACUUGUUUGUGGCCCACCUCUUAGCUUGCA
Molecule: long non-coding RNA, 3833 nt
Organism: Oncorhynchus kisutch (coho salmon)
Lineage: Eukaryota; Metazoa; Chordata; Actinopteri; Salmoniformes; Salmonidae
Exons: 2
Source: RefSeq, a predicted model, not a curated record